AGAGUUUGAUCCUGGCUCAGAUUGAACGCUGGCGGCAUGCUUUACACAUGCAAGUCGAACGGCAGCACGGGGGCAACCCUGGUGGCGAGUGGCGAACGGGUGAGUAAUGUAUCGGAACAUGUCCGGAAGUGGGGGAUAACGUAGCGAAAGUUACGCUAAUACCGCAUAUGCCCUGAGGGGGAAAGGAGGGGAUCGCAAGACCUUUCGCUUUCGGAGUGGCCGAUAUCAGAUUAGCUAGUUGGUGAGGUAAAGGCUCACCAAGGCGACGAUCUGUAGCUGGUCUGAGAGGACGACCAGCCACACUGGGACUGAGACACGGCCCAGACUCCUACGGGAGGCAGCAGUGGGGAAUUUUGGACAAUGGGGGCAACCCUGAUCCAGCCAUGCCGCGUGAGUGAAGAAGGCCUUCGGG
This 412-nucleotide ribosomal RNA is filed under the name uncultured bacterium. Its description in RNAcentral is "bacterial SSU rRNA". It matches the Rfam family "Bacterial small subunit ribosomal RNA", at positions 8 to 422 of the family's 1533-position model. The record is from RNAcentral.